GAUGAACGCUGGCGGCGUGCCUAAUACAUGCAAGUCGAGCGAACAGACGAGGAGCUUGCUCCUCUGACGUUAGCGGCGGACGGGUGAGUAACACGUGGAUAACCUACCUAUAAGACUGGGAUAACUUCGGGAAACCGGAGCUAAUACCGGAGAAUAUAUUGAACCGCAUGGUUCAAUGGUGAAAGACGGUUUUGUUGUAACUUAUAGAUGGAUCCGCGCCGCAUUAGCUAGUUGGUAAGGUAACGGCUUACCAAGGCAACGAUGCGUAGCCGACCUGAGAGGGUGAUCGGCCACACUGGAACUGAGACACGGUCCAGACUCCUACGGGAGGCAGCAGUAGGGAAUCUUCCGCAAUGGGCGAAAGCCUGACGGAGCAACGCCGCGUGAGUGAUGAAGGUCUUCGGAUCGUAAAACUCUGUUAUUAGGGAAGAACAAAUGUGUAAGUAACUAUGCACGUCUUGACGGUACCUAAUCAGAAAGCCACGGCUAACUACGUG
RNAcentral lists this ribosomal RNA (497 nucleotides) under uncultured bacterium. RNAcentral describes it as "partial 16S ribosomal RNA". It matches the Rfam family "Bacterial small subunit ribosomal RNA", at positions 28 to 507 of the family's 1533-position model. The record is from RNAcentral.